Molecule: long non-coding RNA, 1973 nt
Organism: Epinephelus moara (kelp grouper)
Lineage: Eukaryota; Metazoa; Chordata; Actinopteri; Perciformes; Serranidae
Exons: 3
Source: RefSeq, a predicted model, not a curated record
GUUCACCGCUCCAGCUUGGAUUAGUUGAACAGUACAGACGUCCCGCGGCUCACCGGGACCUGCAGACCAAGGGGAAGGAGUUGAGUGAAGAAACGCGAAUCGUCACGCUGCCUACAGACUGUGUGCUGGUGGUUGAAGCGAGCAGCAGCCCAAAUCCCCUGGUGGUGGUGUCCCUUCACGAUUCCCUUGCUGUUGGUGUGCUGUGUCAUGGGUGGUGUUUAGUUUUUUUGGAUCCCCCCCCCUCUUGAUUUUCUGCUGCUGCGGUCUGGCAGGGCAUUCAACACCUCACACACUAUCAAGGCAAUGCACCUGGGGCAGUCAGUACGGAUGCCUCACUAGCAGAAGAACUCAACCACUAAUGUGCCCGCUUUGAGGCAUCCAGACCUACCACAGUGGUGCCGUUCCGCCAGACCUCCAGUCCUCCCACGCUCACCAUUCAGGACCACCAGAUGAGGCGUGUACUAAAGACUGUGAACCCGAGGAAGGCUGCAGGACCGGAUGGUGUACUCCGUAAUGUACUAUGUGCUUGUGCAGACCAAUUGGCUGGAGUGCUGACCAGCAUCUUCAAUACAUCACUGACACAAGCAUCAGUACCAUCCUGCCUGAAAACAGCCACCAUCAUCCCAGUGCCAAAACACACAGCCAUCAAGAGCCUCAGUGACUACAGACCAGUGGCACUGUCUGUAGGCAUGAAAUGCUUUGAGAGACUCAUCCUCCAACACAUAAAGGCCUGCCUCCCUCAGAACUGCGACCCACACCAGUUUGCCUAUAGAGCAAACCGGUCCAGGGAGGACAUCAUCUCCACUGCCCUCCACACUGCCCUGAGCCACCUGCAGCUGCCGAGGAGUUAUAUCAGGAUGAUGUUCGUGGAUUACAGCUCAGCUUUUAACACAAUCAUCCCUGACACCCUGAUUGAGAAGCUGACUGUCCUGGACAUCCCCCCCCCAUAUCUGUUCCUGGAUCAAAGACUUCCUGACUAACCGGCCUCACGUUGUGAAAGUGGGCCAGCUCUGCUCCUCCAUUCUUAGCCUCAGCACCGGCUCUUCACAGGGCUGUGUGCUGAGCUCGCCACAGUACGCCCUCUACAUGUACGACUGCACCCCGAUCCACCCCUCCAACUCCAUCGUUAAAUUUGCAGACGACACCACUGUGGUAGGUCUGAUUACGGGUGGAGAAGAGGCAGCGUACGGGGGGGGGAGUACAGAAGCUAGCAGAGUGGUGCAUUGUGAACAACCUGAGGCUCAACACCACCAAGACCAAAGACAUGGUCAUUGACUUCAGGAGGCAGAGAGAGGGCCAUGAUCCUCUGGACAUUAACGGGGCAUGUGUGGAGACGGUAGCCUCCUUUAAGUUUCUGGGGACCUGUAUCACAGUGAACCUCACCUGGACAGCCAACACAUCAGCACUCAUCAAGAAGGCCCAGCAGAGACUCCACUUCCUGCAAGUGCUGCGGAGAAACCAUCUAGAGGAGAAACUGCUGGUGUCCUUCGACCGCACCACCAUUGAAAGCGUGCAGAUGUACUGUGUCACAAUGUGGUUUGCUGGCUGCUCUGUGGCAAACAGGAAAGCUCUGCAGAGGGUGACCAGAACGGCUGAAAAGAUCAUUGGUUGCCCUCUGCCUCCUCAGGAAGUCACUGCCAGCUCUCGGUGCCUCAGCAGAGCAAAGAAAAUAUCAGAGGCAGUUUAGCCUGCUGCCCUCAGGCAGGAGGUACAGGGCCUUAAAAUGCAGGACAAACAGACUCAGAGACAGUUUUUACCCAUGGGCCAUUAGGUUGUUGAAUACUGCAGACAUGGGUUCACAGGUCAACAACAACACAUUGUUUUAUACAGUUUACUUGUACUUUUAUUCUUCCUUGCACCAUCAGAGGCAGCUGUUUUAAUUUCAUCAUACACAUGUUGAAUGAUGACAAUAAAGGUCUUUCUGUUCCAUUUCUGUUUAUGACCACAGUGUACCCAUCUACUGAUGGCUACUU